GAAAACUUAGUUAAACAACAAAUAACAUCAAUAUGUCAAGUUGAAAUUAAUAACUCGUUAGUUUUUA
RNAcentral lists this transfer RNA (67 nucleotides) under Tenebrionoidea sp. 19 KM-2017. RNAcentral's name for it is "tRNA-Asp". The record is from RNAcentral. Lineage: Eukaryota; Metazoa; Arthropoda; Insecta; Coleoptera.